This 96-nucleotide transfer RNA is filed under the name Cryptosporangium phraense. RNAcentral's name for it is "Cryptosporangium sp. A-T 5661 tRNA-Sec". It matches the Rfam family "Selenocysteine transfer RNA". The record is from RNAcentral. Lineage: Bacteria; Bacillati; Actinomycetota; Actinomycetes; Cryptosporangiales; Cryptosporangiaceae.
GGAGGCGUUCGGGUGGCUGGUGCCCCCCGCGGUCUUCAAAACCGUAGUGGCCGAGGAUCUCGGUCAGGCGGGUUCGAUUCCCGUCCGCCUCCGCCG